UACGAAGGGGGCUAGCGUUGCUCGGAAUCACUGGGCGUAAAGAGCUCGUAGGCGGUUUGUCACGUCUGCUGUGAAAACUGGAGGCUCAACCUCCAGCCUGCAGUGGGUACGGGCAGACUAGAGUGCGGUAGGGGAGAUUGGAAUCCUGGUGUAGCGGUGGAAUGCGCAGAUAUCAGGAGGAACACCAAUGGCGAAGGCAGAUCUCUGGGCCGUAACUGACGCUGAGGAGCGGAAAGCAUGGGGAGCGAACAGG
RNAcentral lists this ribosomal RNA (253 nucleotides) under uncultured bacterium. Its description in RNAcentral is "partial 16S ribosomal RNA". It matches the Rfam family "Bacterial small subunit ribosomal RNA", at positions 524 to 776 of the family's 1533-position model. The record is from RNAcentral.